RNAcentral lists this ribosomal RNA (303 nucleotides) under uncultured bacterium. RNAcentral's name for it is "partial 16S ribosomal RNA". It matches the Rfam family "Bacterial small subunit ribosomal RNA", at positions 507 to 807 of the family's 1533-position model. The record is from RNAcentral.
AGCAGUAGCCGCGGGAAUACGAAGGGUGCAAGCGUUAAUCGGAAUUACUGGGCGUAAAGCGUGCGUAGGCGGUGAGUUAAGUCUGCUGUGAAAUCCCCGGGCUCAACCUGGGAAUUGCAGUGGAUACUGGGUCACUAGAGUGUGGUAGAGGAUAGUGGAAUUUCCGGUGUAGCAGUGAAAUGCGUAGAGAUCGGAAGGAACAUCUGUGGCGAAGGCGACUAUCUGGGCCAACACUGACACUGAGGCACGAAAGCGUGGGGAGCAAACAGGAUUAGAUACCCGUGUAGUCCCUGUCUCUUAUAC